Molecule: small RNA, 68 nt
Filed under: Bacillus sp. V59.32b
Lineage: Bacteria; Bacillati; Bacillota; Bacilli; Caryophanales; Bacillaceae
Also listed under: 1 other name
Description: Bacillaceae-1 RNA
Rfam family: Bacillaceae-1 RNA
Source: Rfam by way of RNAcentral
AAGUAAGGACCCUCAGCUAAAAUCCGUCACGUCCUGUGACGAACGCUGACGUCACCACAUCCUGUGGA